AGCGAACGUUAGCGGCACGCCUAACACAUGCAAGUCGCACGAGAAAGGGAGCAAUCCUGAGUAGAGUGGCGCACGGGUGCGUAACACGUAGAUAACCUGCCCUUUGGAGGGGGAUAACGUUCCGAAAGGAGCGCUAAUACCGCAUAACGCUGCGAGAGGUUUGCCUCUUGCAGACAAAGGUAGGGACCCGCAAGGGCCUAUCGCCAGAGGAGGGGUCUGCGGCCCAUCAGCUAGUUGGUGAGGUAAUGGCUCACCAAGGCAGAGACGGGUAGCUGGUCUGAGAGGAUGAUCAGCCACACUGGUACUGGAACACGGACCAGACUCCUACGGGAGGCAGCAGUGGGGAAUCUUGGUCAAUGGGCGCAAGCCUGAACCAGCGAUGCCGCGUGAGUGAUGAAGGCCUUCGGGUUGUAAAGCUCUGUGGGGAGGGACGAAAGAGCUUGGUCUAAUAGGCCGAGUGUUGACGGUACCUCCUUAGCAAGCACCGGCUAACUCUGUGCCAGCAGUCGCGGUAAGACAGAGGGUGCAAACGUUGCUCGGAAUCACUGGGCGUAAAGGCCGUGUAGGCGGGAAGGAUAGUCAGAUGUGAAAUUCCCAGGUUUAACCUGGGAACUGCAUUUGAAACUCCCUUUCUUGAGUAUCGGAGAGGAAAGCGGAAUUCCUGGUGUAGAGGUGAAAUUCGUAGAUAUCAGGAGGAACACCAGUGGCGAAGGCGGCUUUCUGGACGGUAACUGACGCUGAGACGCGAAAGCGUGGGGAGCAAACAGGAUUAGAUACCCUGGUAGUCCACGCUGUAAACGAUGAGUGCUAGGUGUCGUGGGUAUUGACCCCUGCGGUGCCGCAGCUAACGCAUUAAGCACUCCGCCUGGGAAGUACGGUCGCAAGACUA
RNAcentral lists this ribosomal RNA (889 nucleotides) under uncultured bacterium. RNAcentral's name for it is "bacterial SSU rRNA". It matches the Rfam family "Bacterial small subunit ribosomal RNA", at positions 28 to 896 of the family's 1533-position model. The record is from RNAcentral.